Molecule: long non-coding RNA, 205 nt
Filed under: Sorghum bicolor (sorghum)
Lineage: Eukaryota; Viridiplantae; Streptophyta; Magnoliopsida; Poales; Poaceae
Description: long non-coding RNA (SBIC_LNC007729)
Source: RNAcentral
UGGAUCUGUAAUGUCAUAUGGCAACAUCUUUUAAAAAUAUUUUGAGGGAAGCCUUUUGUAGUUAAAAAGUAGAUAAUGCUCUAGACACUUUGAGGCUGUAGAGUUUUUCCCAAUGCAUUAAGCAAACAAGCUCCCACACCCGAAAGGACAAUAAGCAAAAUGAAUUUGCAACGGUUCUGCUACUAUUCCAGAUAAAAAGACUCCA